GAAAAUGUCGGAUACCAUUGGAAAACGUGAACUUCUGUCCCGAAUUUUUGAUAACAUGCCUUUAUUCUGAUGAAAUCGUUGGAGCAGUUGAAAACAUGGAGUGAACUAGCACAGCUGUGACUGAAGUCUUUGCCGCCACGACCAAAUAGGAAUCAUUAUGCCGCAUCUCACGAAAUCGUCCAGUCUCUCCAUCCACGUCCACGUCUCUCCAUCCAUUCGAUACCACAGCCUUGAAGUCUCUCACUCUUCAUCUCCGCUUUCUUACAAACCUUAUUCCCUCUGUAUAUAUUUGAAUGAGCAAC
Long non-coding RNA from Lineus longissimus, 302 nucleotides. RefSeq lists it as uncharacterized. Lineage: Eukaryota; Metazoa; Nemertea; Pilidiophora; Heteronemertea; Lineidae. The transcript is spliced from 3 exons. The record is from RefSeq and is a predicted model, not a curated record.